AGGAAGUAUGGUAAUACAUUCUUGUCAGCUGUCUGGGCAAAUCUUCUCUCGCAGAAUUGGAUUAAAAUUUAAUGUAUUUCAUUUCUCACUUCCAACGACAAAACGAUGUUGCAAUUGUUAGGCAGCUAUCAAGUCUCAAGAUAUGACAUAAUUUGAUAGAAUGUUAGUACCAAUGCUAUCAGUGCAUUCAAGUCGAGUUCUCGAUACAGGCCGAUCUUCCGAUGGAGUUUCGGUUGCCAUGGCAACAAAUCAUUAUGAUAAGGAAUUUGUAAACGUGCAGUCACAACUCGAUGUCGUGUACGGUGCGAGCGGUUAUUUUAUGAUAGGGAGCUGCUGGUAAACUACCGUCGCUAUACAUCGACUAUGACUACAAUCCUACUUUUAAAAACAAACUACAUACAUAUCUCACAUUUGCGAGGACUACUUCAUCACAAGCAAAAAAUCGCCAUUGGUAAAUAAAGUCUGUCUUCUAUAACCACGAUGAAAAGAAAAGCUGGGCGAAAAAAUUUGAGACUGCAGAACUGGAACACUCUAUUUGAAGACAGUGGCUGCUGAGUGCUGAGCUGCAUCAAAUCUAUCAGCAUCAUGUAACUUCGAUCAGGAACAGACUCCAUUUCAUUUCCGACAACUAGCACCUGUUUUCCCUAGACUUACCAAGUAUUAAGUAACUGCAUUAGUAUUAGGUUAAAUUAAAGGCCCUACAUCGAACAAGUCUAACAAUUAAAACUUAAAUGCAAGAGUGCACAAUUUAUCACUACAUAUCUUCCUCUUUUAAUUCUAAUCAACACACGGUUUCGUCUUUGUUUCACCCAAUCGUGCUGAUAAUCAGUAAUCAUGCACUCUGCACUCUAACUUCGAGAUGUUUCAAAAGGGCUCCCGACGAUUUGAAUUAUAUCAAUAUUUUCUUUUGAUACAUAGAUACUGAUUGGGAGGUUCAUCAUACUAUUCUUGUCACAUGGUAACGAUUAACGAUUAGCUGAUCAGCUUCCAGCAUCGACAGGCCGAAAUCCAUAAAUAUAAUCAGUUGUAAUAAUAAUUAUGCACACCUAUAAUUAACGAUUAUCCAUCUGCCGAUGAUCGAUUACCAUUUAAUAUUUAUCAUCGUCCGGAUCAUCAUAAUAUUUUAAUUUAAAGUUACAAUUGAACGGUGUUAAGAAAGAUAAUUUAAGAGAAAUGUUUUGAAAGUGCCUGAUUUCGAGUAUAAGAUCUGUACUGAUACAUUAAUUUUCAGAUUGUUAUUAUAUAGUUUAUUUGUAUUUGUUAUAUUAUCUUAUCCGCACAAGUUCGGAAGCCAUCUGAACGGUAUUGCCAGACACAGGCAUAUAUUUAUUUUGGGGUAUCAUGCUCUCAGAAACUUCAACUCAGUCCGAUAUUAUAGUUAUACUAACCUGCAUUGCAUAAGGUUAAUUGUCUCUCAGUCUAGUGCAUAAACCUUUUAUUUUGCAUAAACCCUUUAUUUUGAUUGGGAAAACUUUAGUUUAAUGUGGUUACCGUCUCUAAAGUUGGCAUGAUAGUUAAUAAACUCUUAUCUAUUAUGUCACUGAAGAUGACGCCUUUCAACAUGUUUGACGAUAGCCUGUAGAUUGAUAGUUUGAUCUCAGUAUUUACAACAAUUCAUCUAGUUCGAUUGAUUCAAAGGGAAACAAAUUCCUCUUUUAUCUAUUAUGACUAUAUUUAAAUUCAAUCCUGUAAAGUAAUACUCCUUUUUUAGUAAUUUA
Molecule: long non-coding RNA, 1718 nt
Organism: Bolinopsis microptera
Lineage: Eukaryota; Metazoa; Ctenophora; Tentaculata; Lobata; Bolinopsidae
Exons: 5
Source: RefSeq, a predicted model, not a curated record